Molecule: long non-coding RNA, 2018 nt
Filed under: Ricinus communis (castor bean)
Lineage: Eukaryota; Viridiplantae; Streptophyta; Magnoliopsida; Malpighiales; Euphorbiaceae
Description: long non-coding RNA (RCOM_LNC003132)
Source: RNAcentral
UUAAUUAUUUACUAUUUUUGGCAACUUUUGAUUUUUAGCUUAGAAGUAAGAAUUAGGCCAAAAUAAAAUAAUAAAAUAAUCAAAAUUAACUCAGGAGUUGGUUAUUUUGGGAUUUCUGAAAAUUUUAGAACUUUUUGGAAUUUUAGGUGAAUCAAUUCUAAUUAACUUAUUAUUUCUAGCAAUUAAUUGUAUUUAGCCUAAAAAUAGAAAUUUAGCCGAAAUAAAAUUACUAAAAAUAAUAAAAUAAUUAAAAUCAAUAUGGAAAAUGCUUUUCUUGUAGUUCUUGGGUUUCUUGAGGCUUGGCUGAUAGCUUUUAGAUACUGUCUAAUUUUAACGCUAAUAUGACAACAAAUAAAAAAUUAAACAAGAAUUUAAUUUUAAAAUUUUCCAAUCAUGAAAUUAGAUUGAAUUAGGUAGAAUAUGAAUGUAAAUGGCUAGACUUGAUGAUUUUGUUGUUUAGAAAUGGUUGAAAUCAAUAUCUAACACUUAGAGUUUCAGCCUGAAAUUUACUAAGUGAUUUUGGCAUGUGCUGAAAUAUUAAUUAGAAAUGGAUUUUGAUGAGAAUGGUUAAGGAAUGGUUCUAUAGAAUGAUUUUUGGUUCAAAAAGUGUCUAUGGAUGUGCUUGUAGUUGUUAAAUUGACUUAUUAUGCUGGAUACUAAAAUUUUGGUCAGAACUAACAGUAGGUAUGAAAUGUGUGUAGAAUAUGAAAAUAGGUAUGAAAUGUGUUUAGAAAAUGUAUGGAAUGAGUGUUUCUUGGCAUGAGUAAUAUUUUACACUUAAAGAAUUAUAAUUAGUUAAUUUAUUUCGGCAAGUAGUGAUAUGUCUAAAAUUUCUUAAUUGAAAAUGAGACUUUAAGAAUGUCUAAAAUAUGAAUGACAGACAAGAACUUUGGCAAAUUUAUAUGUACGGAAUGAAAAUGCCAAAAUUAGAAAUGGCACCAGACUUUCCUUUCAUUGAUAAGGCAUGUUAUCUCAAGCUCCGAUCGAGAUUUCUUUAUGUUUCUGCUCUAGAUUCUUUAGGCGCCAGUACUAUAAAUAUGGUAAUUCCUUGUUUCUUUCGACUUAAUAUUUCUAUACUACACUUCUUCUUGUCUUGAUGUCUUAAAACUCUUCUUUACAAGAUAAUCCUGGCUUUCAUUCCUGAAGCAUCAAUGUUACUGCCACCACUAUCACUACAAGCACUUCUCCUACCGUUUCUAUUGCCACAUCUUUAUAUCCUCAAGUAGUAUUUUCUACUUUUAUGCCUUUGAAAUUGUUCUUGAAAGCCAAUGACUUAUCCAUAAAUUUCUUUAUUUGAUCUUGUUUCCUUCUCAUUCCUUGUGAUUGAUCCACUAUUGUUUCUUCCCAACCUCUCUACCGAGGAGCUCUUACUAGGUUAGGAAUAGAAUGCCUAGCAGAACUUAUAGAAAAUUGGUCCUUAGGCCAACCUUCCUUCAUGGAUCACAAAUAGUUAACUUAGGAUACUAAAUCUAGUCGUUGAAUCGGUCUGCUUAGGAUGCCAAAUCUAGUGAUAGAAUCGACAUAUCACUCCUUCAAUACCAAAUCAUAGCUAUUAGUAACUUAAUUUUGUGGCCAGGUAUCGACCUUCGAUCUUAAUCUUACUCCUUCCUUUGAUCCUCGCUUAUAAAUCAAAUAGGCUCAAAAUCCACACUAUAGUGAUAGACUUUCCUUUCAUGAUGAUUUAAACCCAUCCUUUUUAUAGUAAGAUAUAAUAAUUGACAGUAAUGUUAAUACUAAAGAAAAUACAUAGUAAAAACUUACAAUCAAUUUCGAUCUCAAUGUGUGGGCUCUCCAAACUUUAUUACCUCCUCGUUGAGUACAAAAAUUGAAUCUUCCAUGGAAAUAGAUUCUUUUGUUGAAUUCUCUUAUGACAUAAUUUUCAAAGGCUUGUGAAUUCUCACCUUCUUAAGAUGACUAAGACUAGCAAAUUGAUUAGUGAAUCCUUAACAAAAAUAUUUAUCUUUUAUUGGGGUUUACUCACUAGAGGAUUUUUGCCUAUUUAUAUACUUACAUGGCUU